CGACGCUUGUGACUGUUGUUGCUGUUGCAUGGCCUGCACUACUUCAGUGAGGCCCCUGACCUGCUGAACCAGCAGGUCGAAUUGCUCCGCUCCGACCGUUGUUGCCGGAGGAGGAGGGGCCUGAGAAACUGGAGGUGAGGCCAGAGCCUAAGAUAUGGCCGUGGAGGCCGUGGAUCACCUGGUGGAUGCUCUGCGGGGAGGCAUCAGGUGAGGGUCUAGUAGAAGAAGGAGAAGAGAAUGUCAGAGAAGAUGAUCGGAAUCGAUCCCGUUGAGCACUCCUUUAAGAACAAGGG
RNAcentral lists this long non-coding RNA (293 nucleotides) under Elaeis guineensis (African oil palm). RNAcentral's name for it is "long non-coding RNA (EGUI_LNC048110)". Lineage: Eukaryota; Viridiplantae; Streptophyta; Magnoliopsida; Arecales; Arecaceae. The record is from RNAcentral.